GCACCACCUGGCCGACGUGGCGGCCGGUGCCGAGAGCAUCGGGCGGGCCCUGGCCCGGGCCGACAGCUCCCACACCGUCGUGGUGCGC
Molecule: transfer RNA, 88 nt
Filed under: Kineosporia sp. NBRC 101731
Lineage: Bacteria; Bacillati; Actinomycetota; Actinomycetes; Kineosporiales; Kineosporiaceae
Description: tRNA-Leu
Source: RNAcentral